AGGGUGUAAACGCUGCAGACUUGGUGUUGGAAAUCCUUCGAGGGUAUUCAGUGCCGGAGAGAAGUUGUUAAGUCUGCUACUUGGGGAGUACGUCCGCAAGGAUGAAACUUAAAGGAAUUGGCGGGGGAGCACCGCAACGGGAGGAGCGUGCGGUUUAAUUGGAUUCAACGCCGAAAAACUCACCAGCAGCGACUGUUACAUGAAAGUCAGGUUGAUGACCUUACUAGACUUUCGGAGAGGAGGUGCAUGGCGUCAGUGACU
This 261-nucleotide ribosomal RNA is filed under the name uncultured archaeon. RNAcentral's name for it is "partial 16S ribosomal RNA". It matches the Rfam family "Archaeal small subunit ribosomal RNA", at positions 748 to 1008 of the family's 1478-position model. The record is from RNAcentral.